Molecule: ribosomal RNA, 1476 nt
Filed under: Spirochaetaceae
Lineage: Bacteria; Pseudomonadati; Spirochaetota; Spirochaetia; Spirochaetales
Description: SSU rRNA
Rfam family: Bacterial small subunit ribosomal RNA
Source: RNAcentral
CAUGCAAGUCGGGCGGCAAGGUGCAGCGAUGCACUCUAGAGCGGCGGACUGGUGAGUAACACGUGGGUGACGCAUCCUGAGGUUGGGGACAGCCNGUAGAAAUGCCGGGUAAUACCGGAUACGCUUCUGCUGCUGGUGGCGGCGGAAGGAAAGGCGCUACGGCGUCGUCUUCGGAGCGGCUCGCGGCCCAUUAGCUAGUUGGUGUGGUAACGGCGCACCAAGGCUGCGAUGGGUAUCCGGCCUGAGAGGGUGAACGGGCACAUUGGGACUGAGAUACGGCCCAGACUCCUGCGGGAGGCAGCAGCUAAGAAUAUUCCGCAAUGGACGGAAGUCUGACGGAGCGACGCCGCGUGGACGAUGAAGGCUUGAUUGUUGUAAAGUUCUUUUGGAUCGGGCGAAGGAGCGGGGGAGGGAAUGCCCCUGUGGUGACGGUACGGUCUGAAUAAGCACCGGCUAAUUACGUGCCAGCAGCCGCGGUAACACGUAAGGUGCGAGCGUUGUUCGGAAUUAUUGGGCGUAAAGGGUAUGUAGGCGGUACGGCAAGCAUGGCGUGAAAGGCGGGGGCUUAACUCCUGGAAUGCGCCGUGGACUGUCGUGCUUGAGUUUCUGAAGGGGAGUCGGAAUUCCUGGUGUAGGGGUGAAAUCUGUAGAUAUCAGGAAGAACACCGAUGGCGGAGGCAGGCUUCUGGCAGGGWACUGACGCUGAGGUACGAAGGUGCGGGGAGCGAACAGGAUUAGAUACCCUGGUAGUCCGCACAGUAAACGAUGCACACUAGGUGUCUGUCUUUGCCGGGCGGGCGCCGAAGCGAACGCGGUAAGUGUGCCGCCUGGGGAGUAUGCCCGCAAGGGUGAAACUCAAAGGAAUUGACGGGGGCCCGCACAAGCNGUGGAGCAUGUGGCUUAAUUCGAUGGUACGCGAGGAACCUUACCUGGGUUUGACAUGGGAGCUGAUCUGGCGGAGACGCUGGGGCGCGGAAACGCGGGCUUUCACAGGUGCUGCAUGGCUGUAGUCAGCUCGUGCCGUGAGGUGUUGGGUUAAGUCCGCAACGAGCGCAACCCCUACUGCCAUGGUCCAGCAGGCGAUGCUGGGGACUCUGGCGGAACUGCCGGCGGCAAGCCGGAGGAAGGUGGGGAUGACGUCAAGUCAUCAUGGCCCUUAUGUCCAGGGCUGCACACGUGCUACAAUGGUUGAGACAGAGCGAAGCAGGGCAGUGAUGCGGAGCGAAGCGCUUAAAGGCGGCCGUAGUUCGGAUCGGAGUCUGAAACUCGACUCCGUGAAGUCGGAAUCGCUAGUAAUCGCGCAUCAGCAUGGCGCGGUGAAUACGUUCCCGGGCCUUGUACACACCGCCCGUCACACCAUCCGAGCAGGGGGCGCCCGAAGCCGGUAGCCCAACCCGAGAGGGGAGGCGCCGUCGAAGNCGCGUUUUGUAAGGAGGGUGAAGUCGUAACAAGGUAGCCGUACCGGAAGGUGCCGCU